UACAGAGGUCCCAAGCGUUUGUUCGGAUUCACUGGGCGUAAAGGGUGCGCAGGUGGGCUGGCAAGUUCGAUGCCGAAAGCCCCGGGCUUAACCCGGGAAUGGCAUUGAAAACUGUCGGUCUGGAGGGUUGGAGGGGGGACUGGGAAAUUCCUGGUGUAGCGGUGAAAUGCGCAGAUAUCAGGAAGAACACCCUGGCUAAGGCGGCUCUCUAGUACGGUACUGAGCUGAGACGCGAAAGCGUGGGGGAGCGAACAG
Molecule: ribosomal RNA, 255 nt
Filed under: uncultured bacterium
Lineage: Bacteria
Description: partial 16S ribosomal RNA
Rfam family: Bacterial small subunit ribosomal RNA
Source: RNAcentral